GACGAACUGCCCAAACGUUGUUCGGAAUCACUGGGCUUAAAGGGCGCGUAGGCGGCGGAUCAAGUCGGGGGUGAAAUCCGGCAGCUUAACUGUCGAAGUGCCUUCGAUACUGAUUCGCUCGAGGGAGGUAGGGGUGCGUGGAACUUCCGGUGGAGCGGUGAAAUGCGUUGAGAUCGGAAGGAACGCCCGUGGCGAAAGCGAGGUCCUGGACGUUUACUGACGCUGAGACGCGAAAGCCAGGGGAGCGAACGGG
This 253-nucleotide ribosomal RNA is filed under the name uncultured bacterium. Its description in RNAcentral is "partial 16S ribosomal RNA". It matches the Rfam family "Bacterial small subunit ribosomal RNA", at positions 524 to 776 of the family's 1533-position model. The record is from RNAcentral.